This 17-nucleotide unclassified non-coding RNA is filed under the name synthetic construct. The record is from RNAcentral.
UCGAAGGUCCUUCGUUU